This 159-nucleotide ribosomal RNA is filed under the name uncultured bacterium. Its description in RNAcentral is "partial 16S ribosomal RNA". It matches the Rfam family "Bacterial small subunit ribosomal RNA", at positions 373 to 524 of the family's 1533-position model. The record is from RNAcentral.
GGGCGCAAGCCUGAUGCAGCCAUGCCGCGUGUAUGAAGAAGGCCUUCGGGUUGUAAAGUACUUUCAGCGGGGAGGAAGGGAGUAAAGUUAAUACCUUUGCUCAUUGACGUUACCCGCAGAAGAAGCACCGGCUAACUCCGUGCCAGCAGCCGCGGUAAU